CUUGUCGUUAUCGAGCCUCGCCUUGAUGUACCGGAGCUCACGGUCCGUCAGAGAAUCGUUGAAGUCAGGGGCGGAGUCCGAAACGGCGUCGUUUGAAGCCAUUGCCGAUGUUCCGAUUUCAAAAUGGCACCUUGCCAAAGAACCGUGCAGAAAUCCGACGGUUCGUUCAGAAACCGUGGCAACUACCCACGGUUCGUUACUUGAACCGUGGGAAGAGCCACGGUUCCCCGUUCCCUAUAAAUACUCUCAGGGGCGUCAUCUCCUUUCAGCACGCUCAAGCUUUUCAGUGAGUUGGAUCUUCAGCGUUCAAGGUCAAAAAGAAAAUCUUCAGCUGGGUUUUCAGAUUUUAUUUAAUCACAUCAGCCUUUAAAUCUGAGGUUUUCAGUAUCUUAUUCAAGGAACAUGUGGCCCUAACGUCAUCCUCUUCUGGCUCUAAGGUGGAGGCAGAGUGAAAAGCUCUUUCUUGGUAUAUUUAUAUUUCUAUGUAAUUGAAUGCCGGGGUUGAUUUUCAAAUUCUAUCUUAUCACAGCAACGUUUGAAUCUGCUGUAAACAGAGAAAAUCUCAAUGAAAGGCAACAGGAGCCUAUUCAAGAACAACCAGAACCAGAAGAUACACAGAAUCGGCAGUUUCGUCGUGGACGCCCUCACCAAAACUCAAGAAGAGGAGGAUAUAGAGUCACAAUUACGGAUGAGAAUGGCCAUAGUUCUACUCGAAACAUGAAGGGAAGUGAUGUUUUACUGCUUGGACGUGGCGAGAGAAUUCAAGUGGAAUGGAAUGAAUUUAAUCAACCAAUAGGAGAAGGCGCUGGGAUUUUAGGAAGUUUCCUAAGAAUUGUUGCGAGUGACUUCGACAAAUUUUCCCUUGAAGUACCCAAACUGGCACAAGAUGCCAGAUCAAUUAAAGAAUCAUGCUUACACAAACAUUAUCAAGACCCACUUUAUUGUGAAUGAUGCUGAGCACAAACAUUUUAUUUUAAUGGCAUUGGGAGCAAAUUGGAGAGAGGCUAAGUACAAAUUAUUUAAAGAUGAAUAAGACCGCACUUGUAACUUGCAAGAUUUGAAAAAUAAUGUUCCUCAUGGCCUCUCUAAAGAAGAUUGGGAAGCAUAUGUUGAUUAUCGUACACGUCCGGACACAAUGGCGAUGGCUAGUCGUAAUGCUCAAAAUAGGGGCCUGAAAAAGAUUCAUCACACAAGUGGGUCUUUAAGCUUUGCAAGGAGGAGGGGAUAUAUGGAAGAAGAGGAUGAUCGGCCAGUUAACAUCAAGGAACUAUAUGAAGUCACACAUUUAAAUAAAGAAGGCAAUCCUUGCAAUGAGGAAGCAGCAACAGUCAUGGAGAAGCUUAAAGAAUGUGAAAAUCAUCAUUCUUCAUCUGAGGCCAAUGCCAAUAAUGACAUUUUAGUGAGAGUUAUAGGCCCAGAUCAUCCAGGGGGCUUAGGAAUGGGUCCCACUCCAACACAAGUUUAUGGGUCAACUUUGUCAACAAAAUCAUUUAAAGCUCAUUCACGUAAACGUACAAAGAAUCCAAACAAUGUAACCCUACGAAAUGAAGUUGAAAGAUUAAAAGCUGAAAAUAUGUCUUUACGUUCACAAAUAGAUGAGUUGAUGAACCAAAUCAAACCGAGAUUAGAUGAGAUGGAAGGCAGUAGAAUGGCUCAAAUACAAAGUUUUAAGACCCGAACCGACCCGGACGGUCGGACCGGUCGGACUGUCGCCCGCUGAAGAAAACGGGCUGGUUCAACCAAUUAACCUGGAUUAGCAGUUGGCCCGGGUUGGCUCGCCUAGAAUCGGACGGUUUUUAAAGACCCGGGAAAAACCCGGAACCCGGAGCGGGUUUUACGGGUCAACAGCGAGUCGCAAAAAAAUGACAAAAUUGAUAUUUUUAAAAAUAAAAAACCCUUCUCCUCACUCUGUCUAGCAGACCAACACCUAUAAGGACCCAUUCUUCUUCUUUUUAGUCUCACUUCUCUCCGUCUCGCACAAUGCACGCACUCAUUCUCGUCAUCUUCUCAAAUCUCAGCCAUCUGGGUUUUGUUCUAUGUGUCAUCUCCCUCAAGCCACUCAGCCUUCUAGGCUCUAUCUUCACCGUUCAGCCAUCUUGGACUCGCUUUCUCAACCAUUUGGGUUCUAUGUUCACCCUUUGUUGUCUUCACCAUUUAACUUUAGCCAUCUCAAACUCUCUCAAACUUCAAAUGUUUAUUUGUUCUUCAUCUUCACUUCACUUUCUUCAUUUUGGUUUGUGACUUCGUGUUCUUGAUUAAUUCUAGUAUAGGCAUCCAGUUGUUGAAAACAGUCAGAUGGCGUCGAGCUCGACCCCUUUCAUGAUUCUUCAUCUUCUUUGUUGAUUGCUCUCUCUCUCUCUCUCUCAGUCCCGGUCACCGGUCCAACCGCCGGUCUGACCGGUUGAACCAUGAGACCCGUGACCCAUUGAUAUUUUCGGUUCGCUGUCCGGUUCGGAUUUUAAAACAUUGCUCAAAUAGAAGCUGAAAGGAAGCGAAUAGCUGAAUUCGAAGCUCUAUUGAUACCAAUGGCUGAAAUGAAAGGUCGAAUGGAUGCAGUGGCUGAAAUUGAAACUCAAAUGAAGGCAAUAGAAGAGAAAUGGAUACAAAACUACCUUCGAGGACGUUCUUCUUCCAAUGCAUGUCGGGGUUCAGGUACAAAUAGGGAUCAAUCUCCAGAAUCCUGCAAUAAAUGAUUUUGCCUGCGGCAUACAUUUUGUGUUUGUAAAAAAAUAUUUAGAUUAAUUGUUUAAGAACUAUGUAUUAAUUAAUUUCUAUCAUGUGAGUUAAAAUGGCAACCUUGGAUACAUUGUUAUUAUCUGUAUUGGAUUUUUCGAGAAGUA
Long non-coding RNA from Prosopis cineraria, 2840 nucleotides. RefSeq lists it as uncharacterized. The transcript has 12 exons. NCBI's taxonomy places the organism in Eukaryota, Viridiplantae, Streptophyta, Magnoliopsida, Fabales, Fabaceae. The record is from RefSeq and is a predicted model, not a curated record.